Molecule: ribosomal RNA, 207 nt
Filed under: uncultured Tissierella sp.
Lineage: Bacteria; Bacillati; Bacillota; Tissierellia; Tissierellales; Tissierellaceae
Description: partial 16S ribosomal RNA
Rfam family: Bacterial small subunit ribosomal RNA
Source: RNAcentral
UUCGCAGGCGGUCUCUUAAGUUAGAUGUGAAAGAUCACGGCUCAACCGUGGUAAGCAUUUAAAACUGGGAGACUUGAGUUAAGGAGAGGAAAGUGGAAUUCCUAGUGUAGCGGUGAAAUGCGUAGAUAUUAGGAGGAAUACCAGUGGCGAAGGCGACUUUCUGGACUUAUACUGACGCUGAGGAACGAAAGCGUGGGGAGCAAACAG